RNAcentral lists this ribosomal RNA (497 nucleotides) under uncultured bacterium. RNAcentral describes it as "partial 16S ribosomal RNA". It matches the Rfam family "Bacterial small subunit ribosomal RNA", at positions 28 to 507 of the family's 1533-position model. The record is from RNAcentral.
GAUGAACGCUGGCGGCGUGCCUAAUACAUGCAAGUCGAGCGAACGGACGAGAAGCUUGCUUCUCUGAUGUUAGCGGCGGACGGGUGAGUAACACGUGGAUAACCUACCUAUAAGACUGGGAUAACUUCGGGAAACCGGAGCUAAUACCGGAUGAUAUUUUGAACCGCAUGGUUCAAAAGUGAAAGACGGUCUUGCUGUCACUUAUAGAUGGAUCCGCGCUGCAUUAGCUAGUUGGUAAGGUAACGGCUUACCAAGGCAACGAUGCAUAGCCGACCUGAGAGGGUGAUCGGCCACACUGAAACUGAGACACGGUCCAGACUCCUACGGGAGGCAGCAGUAGGGAAUCUUCCGCAAAGGGCGAAAGCCUGACGGAGCAACGCCGCGUGAGUGAUGAAGGUCUUCGGAUCGUAAAACUCUGUUAUUAGGGAAGAACAUAUGUGUAAGUAACUGUGCACAUCUUGACGGUACCUAAUCAGAAAGCCACGGCUAACUACGUG